RNA transcript from Vicia villosa (hairy vetch), 1657 nucleotides. It is a transcript of the gene named D-ribulose kinase-like, with no coding region annotated. The transcript is spliced from 6 exons. The record is from RefSeq and is a predicted model, not a curated record. Lineage: Eukaryota; Viridiplantae; Streptophyta; Magnoliopsida; Fabales; Fabaceae.
AACACCGAAAUCGAACUGUUCCUCACCCUAAAUCGAAAACGUUCUUCACCCCAAAAUCAAAAAUGUUCUUCACAUCUGAAAUCGAAAAUCGUUCUUCACACUGAAAUCGAGAAUCGUUCUUCACCCUCAAAUUGAAAAUGUUCAAUCGUUCACACAAAUCGUUGACAAAAAUGGUUCAAUCACUGUGAGGUUCCUUUUUCAUCUUUCAUUCACUAUAUAGAGUACAUUGGGGAUUUAGAACCAAAAACUGAUCCGAGUUUCAUAUCUUCAAGUUCAGGUUUUGACUCAUCGAUCAGGCUCACCUGCAAUGCUGUCACUUAUAUAUUCAGAAAUUCUGAAAAUGCUUCGAUUGUGGGGCCUUUUGUAUUUUGAUGCUGAAAUUUACUACCCUCAUGAUGUUCUGAAUGUUCCAAAAGGAUACCAUAAGCUGAAAAGCAAGGAAUCAGACCAAGCACACAUAAUGACAUCAGGGAACUUAUUGGUUGAGGUCACUUCAUUGGGUUCAACACUUGCUAUUAAACUAUUAAGCAACACAAGAAUUGAGGAUUCUCGGUUUGGGGUGUAUAGUCAUCGCCUUGAUGAUAAAUGGCUUGUUGGCGGUGCUUCAAACACUGGUGGAGUUGUUCUUAAACAGCUAUUCACCGAUGAUCAAUUAAAGAAACUGAGUGAACAAAUCAAUCCCUCACAAUCAUCUCUUCUGGACUACUAUCCUCUUCCAAAAGCUGGUGAAAGAUUUCCAAUUGCAUAUAUUUAAGCUUACACUGCCAACUAUAAGUGCUUAAUUUAUUUCCAUGGUUAAAUCAUUGCAAUAUGCUACAAGUGUAUGUGAUGAUAACCAGUUGUCUAAUUCAUAUUUUGCUUCAAUUGCCUUAAUGGAACAAAUAUUAUUCUCCUUUUCAGGUUCACAAAGAGUGCAGCCUCCUGUACCAUCACAUCCAACUGAGAUGGAUGGUGUCCCAAAAAUAUCUUUACCUGUUUUUGGUCUCGCCUCAUACAAGUUCAAGGGACCCCUGUGGACUCCAAGUGGUGGAUACGAGCGCCAAUUAUCCAACUCUCUUUUACAUAAUGCUGAUAAAUGGUUAAGGCUGCUUCAGGAAAAAAGAAAAGGUAUACAAGAUGUUAAGCUCUCUCCUCUGUAAGCUCUCUCCUCUGUACCGUUACCAGGGAGAAAUCCAAGAUCACUGUUACCUCUGACAGCAAUUUCUCCAAAAGGUAUUUGAAGUACCUGACAAAGAAGUAUUUGAAAAAGCAUUAUGUCAAUAGCUUGAAUUUGAAUAUAAACUGAGUUGUAUCCUUCUCUAGAAGGUGUGUGAUAUUGUUAUGCAUAGUUUAUUUAGUUUUGUUUGCAUAUUGAUCAGGAAAAAUUUAGAUGCAGAUACAUGGAAGUGAAGAUAGCAGGACUUUCAAAGUUAUGGAUACAUCAACAUACAAAUAUAAAAAAAAGGAUUUUUAUUUUAUUUUAUGUGAAAAUUCAAAUAUAGAAAAUAAUAAUAUGGAGUUGGAUAUAUACUAAGAUGUUAAGGAUAUGAUUUAUUUUGUAAUUAGUUUUUAUCAAUAUAAUAUGAAAUCAAUCUUUCUAUAUUGAACUAUUUGAAUUUAUUUAAUAGAAAAUGGUAUAAUAGUUUAAUUUUAGUUAUUUAGCUUUGUCAUGGUUCAA